AGGAAUAUUGGUCAAUGGGCGAUGGCCUGAACCAGCCAAGUAGCGUGAAGGAUGACUGCCCUAUGGGUUGUAAACUUCUUUUAUAAAGGAAUAAAGUCGGGUAUGCAUACCCGUUUGCAUGUACCAUAUGAAUAAGGAUCGGCUAACUCCGUGCCAGCAGCCGCGGUAAUACGGAGGAUCCGAGCGUUAUCCGGAUUUAUUGGGUUUAAAGGGAGCGUAGGCGGAUUGUUAAGUCAGUUGUGAAAGUUUGCGGCUCAACCGUAAAAUUGCAGUUGAUACUGGCAGUCUUGAGUGCAGUAGAGGUGGGCGGAAUUCGUGGUGUAGCGGUGAAAUGCUUAGAUAUCACGAAGAACUCCGAUUGCGAAGGCAGCUCACUGGAGUGUAACUGACGCUGAUGCUCGAAAGUGUGGGUAUCAAACAGGAUUAGAUACCCUGGUAGUCCACACAGUAAACGAUGAAUACUCGCUGUUUGCGAUAUACAGUAAGCGGCCAAGCGAAAGCAUUAAGUAUUCCACCUGGGGAGUACGCCGGCAACGGUGAAACUCAAAGGAAUUGACGGGGGCCCGCACAAGCGGAGGAACAUGUGGUUUAAUUCGAUGAUACGCGAGGAACCUUACCCGGGCUUGAAUUGCAACUGAAUGAUGUGGAGACAUGUCAGCCGCAAGGCAGUUGUGAAGGUGCUGCAUGGUUGUCGUCAGCUCGUGCCGUGAGGUGUCGGCUUAAGUGCCAUAACGAGCGCAACCCUUAUCGAUAGUUACCAUCAGGUUAUGCUGGGGACUCUGUCGAGACUGCCGUCGUAAGAUGUGAGGAAGGUGGGGAUGACGUCAAAUCAGCACGGCCCUUACGUCCGGGGCUACACACGUGUUACAAUGGGGGGUACAGAAGGCAGCUACACGGCGACGUGAUGCUAAUCCCUAAAGCCUCUCUCAGUUCGGAUUGGAGUCUGCAACCCGACUCCAUGAAGCUGGAUUCGCUAGUAAUCGCGCAUCAGCCACGGCGCGGUGAAUACGUUCCCG
This 1016-nucleotide ribosomal RNA is filed under the name uncultured bacterium. RNAcentral's name for it is "bacterial SSU rRNA". It matches the Rfam family "Bacterial small subunit ribosomal RNA", at positions 357 to 1376 of the family's 1533-position model. The record is from RNAcentral.